This is a long non-coding RNA of Carya illinoinensis, 834 nucleotides long. RefSeq lists it as uncharacterized. Lineage: Eukaryota; Viridiplantae; Streptophyta; Magnoliopsida; Fagales; Juglandaceae. The record is from RefSeq and is a predicted model, not a curated record. The transcript is spliced from 2 exons.
GGUGGUUCUGUAGGUUCGAGCAAAGCACAAGAAAGUUUGUCUUCACAAAGACAGUCCUUUGGGAGAAACAAUCCUUGAAUGCUACAAUUAUGGUUGUCGCAAUGUGUUCUUGCUUGGAUUUGUUUCAGCAAAGACAGAGAGUGUAGUGGUUCUUCUUUGUAGAGAGCCUUGUUUAAGUGUUAAUGCAUUGAAGGACAUGAAUUGGGACCUGAGUCAGUGGUGCCCCCUGAUUGAUGAUCAUUGUUUUCUGCAAUGGCUUGUCAAGAUCCCAUCUGAACAAGAGCAGUUGAGGGCACGCCAGAUCAAUGCUCAAUAGAUAAACAAGGUAGAAGAACUUUGGAAGACAAAUCCUGAGGCUUCCCUUGAGGAUCUUGAAAAGCCCAGUGUGGAUCAUGAUGAACCUUAGCUUGUAGCCUUGAAGUAUGAAGAUGCAUAUUAGGUGCCCUAGCUUGCAUUAUUGCUAAUAACAUUAUUGGUUAGCAACAUGUGAGGGUUGUGAUGGAAAUUACAGUUUACAUGUAAAGGUUGUGAAGAUUUUUUGCAGUGAUUUUUGGAGUUGGCAAUAUUUUUGGAUUUGAAAUGUGGCAGGGAAAUUUUAAUAUUUUUUUUCCUAUAUGCUAAUCUUGUAAUAAUUUUUGGUUGGUUUCGAACAAUAGAAUGUAUGGGGAUAGUUUUGUGUUAAAUAGAUUGUUCGGAUCAUCCUUUGUAAUAAUUUUUUUUUUUAUUCGGACUAUAGUUUUUGCUGGAACCAAAUGUGAAAAUCUGUACUCGAGUAUGUUCUUGAGAAUUGAAAUGUGAAUUUUUCAUAUUCAAUUUUAUCAAAUAUUUCUCAUA